RNAcentral lists this long non-coding RNA (520 nucleotides) under Amborella trichopoda. Its description in RNAcentral is "long non-coding RNA (ATRI_LNC003498)". Lineage: Eukaryota; Viridiplantae; Streptophyta; Magnoliopsida; Amborellales; Amborellaceae. The record is from RNAcentral.
CACUCACAUUGAUAAAAAAACGUUCAAAAGCGUGAUGUAAAAAUCACGUUCAUGUUUGGUUAAAAAACAUAAGAGUUAAGUAGUUCGAAAUCAGAAAAAAUUCACUACUUACUUACUUAACCUUUCCAAAAACCCUUCCUGUCAACGCCUCUCUUUCCCAUUCUUUCUCACCUUCCUUUUCUCUCUCUCUCUGCCUUUGAUUCUCUUUUCUCAUGCUUUGAUCCUAGUCGUCGAUUUCUCUCAACCAUCUCUUCUCUUCCUACCCUUGAUUCUCUCUUCUCAUGCUUUGAUCCUAGUCGUCCAUUUCUCUCUCACCAAUCUCUUCUCUCCCUACCCUUGAUUCUCUCUUCUCAUGCUUUGGCCGACUGCAAAGAUUUGGACACGGCCGCCUGGCCCUGCUAACCAAAUGUUGUUGUUGUUGUUAAUGUUAUUAAAAAAAAAGGAGGCAGAGGAGAAAAAAAACAAUGCAAACAGAAUUUGGAGUUUUCUCUGAAAAUUUCCCUUACCUUGUAAGCAUUUC